RNA transcript from Nomascus leucogenys (northern white-cheeked gibbon), 249 nucleotides. RefSeq lists it as uncharacterized. The record is from RefSeq and is a predicted model, not a curated record. Lineage: Eukaryota; Metazoa; Chordata; Mammalia; Primates; Hylobatidae.
GAUGAUCUGUCACUGUCUCCCAUCACCCCCAGAUGGGACCAUCUAGUUACAGGAAAAGAAGGUCAAGACUCCCACUCAUUCUUCAUUAUGCCUCAGCCGAGAUGUCUCACCCCACUCUCUAUGAUGCAACAAGAAGCCCCUGGAGAACGUUUCAGUCCCACUCUGUACUUCUGUCAUGUGCUCAUCACAGUCUGGUGGAAUUUAAAUGACCCCUUAUCAAGAUGGAUAAACCCAAGUUUCCCAGUGCUG